RNAcentral lists this unclassified non-coding RNA (1260 nucleotides) under Hevea brasiliensis (rubber tree). Lineage: Eukaryota; Viridiplantae; Streptophyta; Magnoliopsida; Malpighiales; Euphorbiaceae. The record is from RNAcentral.
CACAAAAGCAGACUUGGUUCCACUACACAGACAGACAAGAGAGUAAGUCAUCGCAUUAUACAAUUCAAGUGACCAGCUGUUUCAAAUGACACUAGGAGAGAAUAUUUUAAGUACACUCAAAAUGCUAGAAAUGACUUUGCAGCUUGCUUUUACUGUAAAAUUUGGGUGGCAGUCUUAAAUUUUAGGAACCAAGAUUUCUUUCUCCUUUUGAGCACUUAUUACACUCAACAAUGUUUAACAGCAAAGAAAAUUACUAUUUCUAUUUGUACCAAAAGAGAGACAUCAAUAUGUUCACCAAUCCCAUCUUUGAUGAAUUUAAGUUUCUAAUAAAUCAUACAAAAAAUUGAGAACUAUAAAGCAGCUUCACACAAAAUCUGAAAAGACGGAACCACACAAACUUAUGAUCAAACAUAAAAAAUCAGAAACAGAAUUUUAAAAUUGGUAAUGAUUGUCGUUAUGCUUUUUUAAAAUUACCUUAAACUAUGGAGAAAUUCGUAACUGCUAAACAAUUGCUAGAGAAAUUGGCAUAGAUUUGGACAUAGGGGGAGAGAGAAUAAGGGAGGGAGAGAGCAAACAUGAAAAGUGAGUAGGAGAAUAUGCAAGAGAGUUGGUCCUGCCUGAUGCCUCAUGAAGGAGGGAACAUAUUGUGGUAAAACUCUAUUUACAACAUAAAAGUUACCUCUUAAAUUUGGAAUUAUCUGUUCUAGCAGAUAGGGGGUCAUCAAAAGAUGUGUAAAAUUUUUCUUGCGUCUACCUGCAGCGCUCAACAUCAUCCAAGUGCACCCAUGCAUGACAUUCUUUUGUUAAUUAUUUCAAUAUUCCUUCAGCCAAUUGAUCCCCAUUAAUCUAAAUUAGUAGUUAAAUGAAUAUAUCAAGACAAGUUUAGUUGGGUACAGCUGGGUUCAGUUAGUUAUUUGAUUAAUAAAUACAAUGUCAAAUGUGCCAAUGUUUAGGAUUAGCAUUAACCUUUAUUGAAUGGAUAUCAGAACCAAUAAAUGAGGGACGAACAGAUUAAGGAAAAUCCAACCCACUUUGACCCCCAGCCAUAGCCCCAUUUUCCAUGCUUCACUGAUUAAACAACAAUAGCAACAAAUUCUAAUACUCAAUUAUGAUACACUUAAUUUUGAUGGUUCUCAUACCACCUGGUCAUAAUUUCAGCACUUAAUGAAGUUCUAGUGUAGAUCCCACUAAUAUCAGAGCCCAUUCUCAUAUUUUUAACUGGUGCAUGUCACUGACCUGCCAAGUUCUAAGCCACCUUUA